Molecule: ribosomal RNA, 264 nt
Filed under: uncultured bacterium
Lineage: Bacteria
Description: partial 16S ribosomal RNA
Rfam family: Bacterial small subunit ribosomal RNA
Source: RNAcentral
AACGAACGCUGGCGGCACGCCUAACACAUGCAAGUCGAACGCCUGGUAGCAAUACCGGGAGUGGCGGACGGGUGAGUAACGCGUGGGAACCUGCCUUGUGGUGCGGGACAACCCCGGGAAACCGGGGCUAAUACCGCAUGAUCCCCCUCGGCGAACGGGGGGUAAAGGAUUUAUCGCCAUGAGAGGGGCCCGCGUCGGAUUAGGUAGUUGGUGGGGUAACGGCCUACCAAGCCUUCGAUCCGUAGCUGGUCUGAGAGGANGGCC